AUACGUAGGUGGCAAGCGUUGUCCGGAAUUAUUGGGCGUAAAGCGCGCGCAGGUGGUUCCUUAAGUCUGAUGUGAAAGCCCCCGGCUCAACCGGGGAGGGUCAUUGGAAACUGGGGAACUUGAGUGCAGAAGAGGAUAGUGGAAUUCCAAGUGUAGCGGUGAAAUGCGUAGAGAUUUGGAGGAACACCAGUGGCGAAGGCGACUGUCUGGUCUUUAACUGACACUGAGGCGCGAAAGCGGGGGGAGCAAACAGGAUUAGAUCCCCUGUUAGUCCACGCCGUAAACGAUGAGUGCUAAGUGUUGGGGGGUUUCCGCCCCUCAGUGCUGCAGCUAACGCAUUAAGCACUCCGCCUGGGGAGUACGGUCGCAAGACUGAAACUCAAAUGAAUUGACGGGG
RNAcentral lists this ribosomal RNA (397 nucleotides) under uncultured bacterium. Its description in RNAcentral is "partial 16S ribosomal RNA". It matches the Rfam family "Bacterial small subunit ribosomal RNA", at positions 523 to 918 of the family's 1533-position model. The record is from RNAcentral.